GUGGGUGACUGCUCGUCUCAUUGUUUACUUUUCAUUAUAGAUGCGCAAAUGAGAAUACCUUUUCAGCCAAGCAGUAUCUUUAAAUACACCGGUUUUCACAAACUUUUCAUGCAAUUCACAGGGUCUUCUACUCACAUGAAAAUCUGAAGGGUCUUCCGCCAAGUCCACAUUGCUUCACUCUCUGUCCGUGAAAAAGACCAUAGUUAACCCUACCGACAAAUUUAUCCAGCUCUUGUCCUGUGGCAUUUACAAGUUGCGCACCGGUUGUACACAACACAGUCCCCUGGACCCAAAACUGCGUCCCCAUCGCGGCGGCAAUAAUGAGGACGCAACCGAAACUCAACACUCCGGCAACAGAGAAUAUAAUUUUCUUUUGACAACUUGGCAUGAACUGCGGGACAACAGGUGGCGAAGGACACUGUCUACCGGAGGCUGGGGCGACACCAUGUGCUAGCUAACUAAUAAGCUAGGGUUGGGCUAACUAGCUAGUUAGCAACACUUUGUGCUACUUUUAGUUAGUUAGUACACGGCGUCACCCACAACUCUCGUCUGCUGCAUACCGGAGAAAAUCAUGCCAGACAGGCGUGGGAGAAGGACACUGUCUACCGGUCGCCCCCGCCUCCCGCUAGCACAGCAGCAGUUAUUGGCUGUAGCUUCAAGUCUUCACUGGCUUGGGAUGGUGUUCGAAUCCCGUCUGCUCCUCCUACUCCUGAACACCUCCCUGACCCUCUGUCUGAAUGCCUUGGAGAAGUAGUAGUAGAGCACGGGGUCCAGGCAGAGAUGCAGCACCACCAGCAGUAAUGUGGACUCCUUGGCCAGGAAGAGGUGCCUCUUGGUCUGGCAGUCUGGAGUGAUGACCUCGGUCUGGGCCAGCGUAUAGGGCGUCCGUACCACGUGGUAUGGCACGAAGCACACCACGUACGCUGCCGUCACCACCGUAACAUUGACGGUUGCACGGCGAGCAUGGCGCCACUGUUCAGGGUCAUUCCUGCUCGCCAGCAACCUCUUUAGCACCAGACCGUUGGCGACGAGGACAGCCGUGGACGCGUUGAGGAACAGGAUGGUACAGAGGAAGACUGAGAGGCCGUGCCAGUGGAGUCCCACCUCCUGCUUCAGCUUGGAGCAGCUCAGGAACUUCCUCUCUGGGAUGUCCUGGAUGGGCAGGGCCAUGUUGGGCACCAUGAUGAGGAGCACAAGUAGCCACACCGUCACUGACAUCAGCCUGGCAAAGCCCACUUCUUGUAUACGGAACAGUCUGGAGCUCUGGCUGGUCAAUCAAUCAAUAAAUCAAUCAAUCACUGUUUAAAGUGCUUCUAAUUCUAGCAAAACAUUUAACCAAAAAAAAUGCUAAUAAUCCUUACACAAUAAUUAACAAUAGUACAACAUUAAAAUAAGUUCAAAAGACAGUUUCAAAACCAUAAUAAUACCUGAUCUGCAUGUAGCAGUCAAUGCUGACGAAGGUGAGGAAGAAGAUGGACACAUACAUGCUGAUGUAGACUACCACGGCGCUCACCUGGCAGUGGAAGACCAUGAAGCCCCAGGGUACCACACCCAGGUCUUUGGCCACCUUGAAGGGCAGGGCCAGGGUGAGCAGGAGGUCAGCGGUCAGGAGAUUGACCAGGUAGACAUCGAUGCUCUUCUUGUCAUUGUAGCUGUGUAUGAACACCCACAGAGCCACCAGGUUGGCAGCUAUGCUGGUGAGAAAGACCAGGAUGUAGAGCACGCUGAAAGGCUCCAUCUGGUCAUUGACAACACACUGAGGGAGGGUGUCAUCGGUGGAGUUUGUGGGAAGCGUCAUCAUCAAUUGGGGAGUCGAUAGUCUAACAAAACAUGCACCUUUGACUGAGAAAGAAAAUCCACAUGUGGUUAGGUCAUACAAAUUUGAUUCGUUUAGAAAACUGAGGCCAGCCAGCAAAUCAUAAACAAAUGUACUGCAGUGAUCUUAGAACAACACCUAUGAACCUUGUUUAAAAAAUAAAUAAUGAGAACCUUACUC
Molecule: long non-coding RNA, 1996 nt
Organism: Oncorhynchus gorbuscha (pink salmon)
Lineage: Eukaryota; Metazoa; Chordata; Actinopteri; Salmoniformes; Salmonidae
Exons: 3
Source: RefSeq, a predicted model, not a curated record